UAGAUAGACCACACUGGCACCCGAGGAACCCACGAGGAGGAGGAGGAGGAGGAGAAAAAUCGAGUUUCCACAUUUGAAACUGAACCUGGAACAGCCCCAAGAACUUGCCACACCCAGGUCUGCUAAGCACUGUGCUAUGCACUGAUAUGGUUUAAGAAGUCAGAGUGAAACACGUUCUCCCUGCAGGAGUUUACUGGCCACAAACCAAAACACACAUAAAUCUAUCACAAAGCAAAAAAUCUCUAAAACCCAAAGACUAGAGGAGUAUAAGGUUUCAGACUUUGGUUUUAAAAUAAUAGGGGGUUGGGGACAGCAGCCAACACCUGUUGGCAGUCUUCUGCAUGGCCUCACCUGGGAAGGGGAGAAAUGGCUCAGGCAACAAAACAGCUAAUCCUGGGUCAAAGUGACAACCCAAAAAAUGCCACAGACACAAGCAAUGCCCGGUGGAGAGAACUGGAAGCCGGCGUGGACUCAGUGGAGAAGGGCUUUCUGGGGAAGGGAUGCCGGAGGCUUUGUCCCUGCAGGCUCCAGGGAGCAGGAUGGUUUCCACUAUUCAAAUGCCCCACAACCAUUUCUAAACAACCCAGUAGGGUUCAUAGUGUUCUACGGAUGGGGACACAGUGGCUCAGAGGGGUUAAGGAUGUUGCCCAAGGUCACAGAGCUAAAGAAAAUGGCUGGGCUGUCAAUGAAACCAUGCUCUUUCUACCACACCAUGUUACCUGAGGAAUUGCACAAACACGAAAGUGUUCACUUCUGUCCAAGCCACCCAUUUGAUCAAUACGACGCCAGCCUACCAGCCUAUAUGAUGAGUUUCCCUCAUGGGCAAUCCCCAGCCCUCACAGAGCAUAAUGCACUAGACAAGCC
This 864-nucleotide long non-coding RNA is filed under the name Mus pahari (shrew mouse). RNAcentral's name for it is "non-protein coding RNA, repressor of NFAT (MGP_PahariEiJ_G0003268.1)". The record is from RNAcentral. Lineage: Eukaryota; Metazoa; Chordata; Mammalia; Rodentia; Muridae.